Molecule: ribosomal RNA, 424 nt
Filed under: uncultured bacterium
Lineage: Bacteria
Description: partial 16S ribosomal RNA
Rfam family: Bacterial small subunit ribosomal RNA
Source: RNAcentral
CAUAUUUGACAAUGGGCGAAAGCCUGAUCCAGCCAUGCCGCGAGUGUGAAGAAGGUCUUCGGAUUGUAUCGCACUUUAAGCUGGGCGAUAGGGUUGUGGAUUAAUACUCUGCAUUUUUGACGUUACCAUCAGAAUAAGCACCUGCUAACUUCGUGCCAGCAGCCGCGGUAAUACGAAAGGUGCAAGUGUUAAUCGGAAUUACUGGGCGUAAAGCGCGCGUAGGUGGUGCAGUAAGAUGGGUGUGACAUCCCCGGGCUUAACCUGGGAACUGCUUUCAUAACUGCUGAGCUAGAGUACGGUAGAGGGUAGUGGAAUUUCCUGUGUAGCGGUGAAAUGCGUAGAUAUAGGAAGGAACAUCAGUGGCGAAGGCGACUACCUGGACUGAUACUGACACUGAGGUGCGAAAGCGUGGGGAGCAAACAGG